Molecule: non-coding RNA, 58 nt
Organism: Dipodomys ordii (Ord's kangaroo rat)
Lineage: Eukaryota; Metazoa; Chordata; Mammalia; Rodentia; Heteromyidae
Source: Rfam
UGGCUCAGUGGUAGAGCGCAUGCCUUGCAUGCAUGAGGCCCUGGGUUCGAUUCCUCAG